GGGGAAUAUUGGACAAUGGGGGCAACCCUGAUCCAGCAAUGCCGCGUGUGUGAAGAAGGUCUUCGGAUUGUAAAGCACUUUCGACGGGGACGAUGAUGACGGUACCCGUAGAAGAAGCCCCGGCUAACUUCGUGUCAGCAGCCGCGGUAAUACGAAGGGGGCUAGCGUUGCUCGGAAUGACUGGGCGUAAAGGGCGUGUAGGCGGUUUACACAGUCAGAUGUAAUCCGGGCAAUUCCCAAG
Molecule: ribosomal RNA, 241 nt
Filed under: uncultured bacterium
Lineage: Bacteria
Description: partial 16S ribosomal RNA
Rfam family: Bacterial small subunit ribosomal RNA
Source: RNAcentral